Unclassified non-coding RNA from Panthera pardus (leopard), 180 nucleotides. The record is from Ensembl. Lineage: Eukaryota; Metazoa; Chordata; Mammalia; Carnivora; Felidae.
UUGACAGCUUUGGAAAUAGAUGGCUUCUUUUCCUCCGAAGACUAGAUACAGCCUGAUAAGCAGAAGUGUGAGACUUCCCCAACUGCUUCCCCACUGUGCCUUCACCCUGACAAAGUAAUGCUGGCUUCGUGAAAGAAAGGACAAGUCACCUUACCCAGGCAGUUCUCUGCUGACACUACU